AGUUGAUGAACCGCAAGAACCUGUUUGUGUAGUUAAUGCCAAGGUCAUUCCAGCCAGAAGCAGCUGGAUCGCCAUGGAGACACCGCCGGGUGGAGCAGCUGGACCUCAGACCGUUGACAGCCAAGUGAGAGUGAAGGAGG
This is a long non-coding RNA of Anoplopoma fimbria (sablefish), 140 nucleotides long. RefSeq lists it as uncharacterized. NCBI's taxonomy places the organism in Eukaryota, Metazoa, Chordata, Actinopteri, Perciformes, Anoplopomatidae. The record is from RefSeq and is a predicted model, not a curated record. The transcript is spliced from 3 exons.